GUUCUCGAUAUACCCUGACAUAAAGCUGCAGUGAAUUGCACAGUAAAUGUGCACAACUUUAACAGAGUCUUUAAUAAUGAAUAUGAAUAUAUAUAUGUACAAUAAAUAACACCAUAAAACCACUAAAAAAAAAUGCCAUAAAUCUAAAUAUACACAGUGGCACACACUUCGCAAAAUAUUGGAGGGAAGGUGAGGGAAUUUAUGUUGUCACUAUAUGACCGCGUUUGCUGCUGAAAAUCUUAAUUGCCCUAAUUCGAUGCAAUGUAUAACUCGAUCUAUAGCCUACAUGCUUUCAUGGUCGAAAAAUAAUUGUCAUAUCUCUUUGUGUUACACAGUUAAGCGCCGGUCAAAUAGCAUGACGCAUGAGAGUUGGCAGUCACCGAUUUUUGUUACUGGGGAGUUUCCCUUGAUAGUGUCCCCUAGUAGUGUCCUUUUCU
Paramuricea clavata is the source of this 437-nucleotide non-coding RNA. Lineage: Eukaryota; Metazoa; Cnidaria; Anthozoa; Malacalcyonacea; Plexauridae. The record is from the annotation of a GenBank genome assembly.